RNAcentral lists this transfer RNA (71 nucleotides) under Muribaculaceae bacterium. RNAcentral's name for it is "tRNA-Pro". It matches the Rfam family "tRNA". Rfam says of the family: Transfer RNA (tRNA) molecules are approximately 80 nucleotides in length. Their secondary structure includes four short double-helical elements and three loops (D, anti-codon, and T loops). Further hydrogen bonds mediate the characteristic L-shaped molecular structure. tRNAs have two regions of fundamental functional importance: the anti-codon, which is responsible for specific mRNA codon recognition, and the 3' end, to which the tRNAs corresponding amino acid is attached (by aminoacyl-tRNA synthetases). tRNAs cope with the degeneracy of the genetic code in two manners: having more than one tRNA (with a specific anti-codon) for a particular amino acid; and 'wobble' base-pairing, i.e. permitting non-standard base-pairing at the 3rd anti-codon position. The record is from RNAcentral. Lineage: Bacteria; Pseudomonadati; Bacteroidota; Bacteroidia; Bacteroidales; Muribaculaceae.
GGGGCGGAAGCUCAGAGGUAGAGCGCCGGAAAGGAUUCCGGAGGUCACGGGUUCGAAUCCCGUCCGCCCGG